Molecule: long non-coding RNA, 199 nt
Filed under: Capsicum annuum
Lineage: Eukaryota; Viridiplantae; Streptophyta; Magnoliopsida; Solanales; Solanaceae
Description: long non-coding RNA (CANN_LNC010930)
Source: RNAcentral
UGGAGAACGCAUACAUACACACACAUAUAGUCGAUUAGGAAAAGUAAAUAAUGAAUUCAAUCAGAUAUUUAUGGAAAGAUAUAUUCACCCGAUAUUUACAAUAAAUCAAUAGUCCAUAGAAGCAAAGUAUAUAUGUUUCUCUUAUCUACAAGAUAUUAAAAGUGUGAAAACUCUUAGAAAAGUGAUUUGAACUUUUUGC